Molecule: small nuclear RNA, 157 nt
Organism: Cephalotus follicularis
Lineage: Eukaryota; Viridiplantae; Streptophyta; Magnoliopsida; Oxalidales; Cephalotaceae
Rfam family: U1 spliceosomal RNA
About the family: U1 is a small nuclear RNA (snRNA) component of the spliceosome (involved in pre-mRNA splicing). Its 5' end forms complementary base pairs with the 5' splice junction, thus defining the 5' donor site of an intron.
Source: Rfam
AUACUUACCUGGACGGGGUCAAUGGGUGAUCAAUAAUGCUUAUGACCUAGGUUGGUGGUCUCCAUUGCACUUAGGAGAUGCAUCAAUCUAAGGUCUGUCCAAGUGAAAGAGCCUACGUCAUAAUGGUAGUGGGGGCUUGCGUUCGCGUGGCCCCUGU